RNAcentral lists this ribosomal RNA (488 nucleotides) under uncultured bacterium. RNAcentral describes it as "bacterial SSU rRNA". It matches the Rfam family "Bacterial small subunit ribosomal RNA", at positions 8 to 518 of the family's 1533-position model. The record is from RNAcentral.
AGAGUUUGAUUCGGCUCAGAAUGAACGCUGGCGGCAUGGAUUAGGCAUGCAAGUCGAACGUACUCCCUUCGGGGAGAAAGUGGCGAAAGGGUGAGUAACACGUGAGCAACCUGCCUCCGGAUCCGGAAUAAUCCAGGGAAACUUGGUCUAAAACCGGAUGAAGACAUUGGUCCGCAUGGUCUAAUGUUAAAAUAUUUAUAGUCCGGAGAGGGGCUCGCGGCCCAUUAGCUUGUUGGCGGGGUAAUGGCCCACCAAGGCUACGACGGGUAGGUGGUCUGAGAGGAUGGUCACCCACACUGGGACUGAGACACUGCCCAGACUCCUACGGGAGGCUGCAGUCGAGAAUCUUCCGCAAUGGGCGCAAAGCCUGACGGAGCGAUGCCGCGUGAGGGAUGAAGGCCUUCGGGUUGUAAACCUCUGUCAUCCGGGACGAAAACAAUGACGGUACCGGAAAAGGAAGCCACGGCUAACCACGUGCCAGCAGCCGC